Molecule: transfer RNA, 73 nt
Filed under: Mus musculus (house mouse)
Lineage: Eukaryota; Metazoa; Chordata; Mammalia; Rodentia; Muridae
Rfam family: tRNA
About the family: Transfer RNA (tRNA) molecules are approximately 80 nucleotides in length. Their secondary structure includes four short double-helical elements and three loops (D, anti-codon, and T loops).
Source: Rfam by way of RNAcentral
GGAGGUGUAACUCAGCAGUUGGAGUACUUACCUAGCACGCAUGAAGCCCUGGGUUCAAUCCCCAGCACCGCAC